This 247-nucleotide long non-coding RNA is filed under the name Brassica napus (rape). RNAcentral describes it as "long non-coding RNA (BNAP_LNC011575)". Lineage: Eukaryota; Viridiplantae; Streptophyta; Magnoliopsida; Brassicales; Brassicaceae. The record is from RNAcentral.
GUGGAUUGAGCGAAAGAAUCGUUGGAUUUGGCUGAAAAACGAGAGAGAAAAGAGAUGGGAGUGUUUUCAUAGGAUUUUCGGGUUUGUGUGAAUGUCGACUUAUGUGUCGACUUAAUAUGAGCCCGCGUCAGUUCAUUUAAUGUCAAUCGAUGACGAGAGGUCUUCGUCAAUCGACAGACGUUAAGUUUUCAGAAGGUUUUUUUUUUUUUUUGAAAUUUAAACUAAAUCCUAAAUAUCUAAAAAAAAA